This 1358-nucleotide ribosomal RNA is filed under the name Bifidobacterium pseudocatenulatum. RNAcentral's name for it is "bacterial SSU rRNA". It matches the Rfam family "Bacterial small subunit ribosomal RNA", at positions 70 to 1437 of the family's 1533-position model. Lineage: Bacteria; Bacillati; Actinomycetota; Actinomycetes; Bifidobacteriales; Bifidobacteriaceae. The record is from RNAcentral.
CCAUCAGGCUUUGCUUGGUGGUGAGAGUGGCGAACGGGUGAGUAAUGCGUGACCGACCUGCCCCAUACACCGGAAUAGCUCCUGGAAACGGGUGGUAAUGCCGGAUGCUCCGACUCCUCGCAUGGGGUGUCGGGAAAGAUUUCAUCGGUAUGGGAUGGGGUCGCGUCCUAUCAGGUAGUCGGCGGGGUAACGGCCCACCGAGCCUACGACGGGUAGCCGGCCUGAGAGGGCGACCGGCCACAUUGGGACUGAGAUACGGCCCAGACUCCUACGGGAGGCAGCAGUGGGGAAUAUUGCACAAUGGGCGCAAGCCUGAUGCAGCGACGCCGCGUGCGGGAUGACGGCCUUCGGGUUGUAAACCGCUUUUGAUCGGGAGCAAGCCUUCGGGUGAGUGUACCUUUCGAAUAAGCACCGGCUAACUACGUGCCAGCAGCCGCGGUAAUACGUAGGGUGCAAGCGUUAUCCGGAAUUAUUGGGCGUAAAGGGCUCGUAGGCGGUUCGUCGCGUCCGGUGUGAAAGUCCAUCGCUUAACGGUGGAUCUGCGCCGGGUACGGGCGGGCUGGAGUGCGGUAGGGGAGACUGGAAUUCCCGGUGUAACGGUGGAAUGUGUAGAUAUCGGGAAGAACACCAAUGGCGAAGGCAGGUCUCUGGGCCGUUACUGACGCUGAGGAGCGAAAGCGUGGGGAGCGAACAGGAUUAGAUACCCUGGUAGUCCACGCCGUAAACGGUGGAUGCUGGAUGUGGGGCCCGUUCCACGGGUUCCGUGUCGGAGCUAACGCGUUAAGCAUCCCGCCUGGGGAGUACGGCCGCAAGGCUAAAACUCAAAGAAAUUGACGGGGGCCCGCACAAGCGGCGGAGCAUGCGGAUUAAUUCGAUGCAACGCGAAGAACCUUACCUGGGCUUGACAUGUUCCCGACAGCCGUAGAGAUAUGGCCUCCCUUCGGGGCGGGUUCACAGGUGGUGCAUGGUCGUCGUCAGCUCGUGUCGUGAGAUGUUGGGUUAAGUCCCGCAACGAGCGCAACCCUCGCCCUGUGUUGCCAGCACGUCAUGGUGGGAACUCACGGGGGACCGCCGGGGUCAACUCGGAGGAAGGUGGGGAUGACGUCAGAUCAUCAUGCCCCUUACGUCCAGGGCUUCACGCAUGCUACAAUGGCCGGUACAACGGGAUGCGACACGGCGACGUGGAGCGGAUCCCUGAAAACCGGUCUCAGUUCGGAUUGGAGUCUGCAACCCGACUCCAUGAAGGCGGAGUCGCUAGUAAUCGCGGAUCAGCAACGCCGCGGUGAAUGCGUUCCCGGGCCUUGUACACACCGCCCGUCAAGUCAUGAAAGUGGGUAGCACCCGAAGCCGGUGGCCUA